CUUGACGGAGCCGAGCCACAGCGGCGUCGACCGGUCCUGCCCGUAGGUCGCCAGCAGCGCCUGAGCCUC
RNAcentral lists this antisense RNA (69 nucleotides) under Saccharothrix australiensis. RNAcentral describes it as "ASpks TB sRNA". It matches the Rfam family "ASpks TB sRNA". Lineage: Bacteria; Bacillati; Actinomycetota; Actinomycetes; Pseudonocardiales; Pseudonocardiaceae. The record is from Rfam by way of RNAcentral.